This 560-nucleotide ribosomal RNA is filed under the name uncultured microeukaryote. RNAcentral describes it as "bacterial SSU rRNA". It matches the Rfam family "Eukaryotic small subunit ribosomal RNA", at positions 1 to 565 of the family's 1831-position model. The record is from RNAcentral.
CACUAGUGAUUCUGGUUGAUCCUGCCAGUAGUCAUAUGCUUGUCUCAAAGAUUAAGCCAUGCAUGUCUAAGUAUAAGCACUUUGUACUGCGAAACUGCGAAUGGCUCAUUAAAUCAGUUAUAAUUUAUUUGAUAAUACCUUACUACUUGGAUAACCGUGGUAAUUCUAGUGCUAAUACAUGCUUUAAGCCCCGACUUCUGGAAGGGGCGUAUUUAUUAGAUUAAAAACCAAAGCACAACCUUGGUGAAUCAUGAUAACUUUUCGAAUCGCAUGGCUCUGCCGGCGAUGGUUCAAUCAAAUUUCUGCCCUAUCAACUUUCGAUGGUAGUAUAGAGGACUACCAUGGUCGCAACGGGUAACGGAGAAUUAGGGUUCGAUUCCGGAGAGGGAGCCUGAGAAACGGCUACCACAUCCAAGGAAGGCAGCAGGCGCGCAAAUUACCCAAUCCCAACACGGGGAGGUAGUGACAAUAAAUAACAAUACAGAGCUUUUUAAGUUUUGUAAUUGUAAUGAGAACAAUUUAAACCUCUUAUCGAGAACCAAUUGGAGGGCAAGUCUGGU